AUUGAAGACCAAAUCAGUAGAGAAGGAAACGCCAAAGAAGAAAGGGGACAAGGAGGAGAAAGAUAAGAAGAAGAAGAAGAAGAAGGAUGAUGAUGAAGAUGACAAGAAGAAAGAUAAAAAAAAGGACAAGAAGAAGAAGGAGGAGGAGGGAAAAGGUGGCAAGGAUAGUUUAGGUGGAGAGUUGGAUAAUGAAGCUGGAGAGACUAAUAAAAAGGAAGAGAAAGAAGAUAAGCAAGACAAUGGAAAACAAGAAAAGAAAAAGAAGAAGGAAAAACAUGUAAAUGAGGUGAAGGAGAAAGAUGAGAAAAAGAAGAAAGAGAAGAAGGACAAAGAUAAU
RNAcentral lists this unclassified non-coding RNA (337 nucleotides) under Hevea brasiliensis (rubber tree). The record is from RNAcentral. Lineage: Eukaryota; Viridiplantae; Streptophyta; Magnoliopsida; Malpighiales; Euphorbiaceae.